This 4570-nucleotide long non-coding RNA is filed under the name Gossypium barbadense (sea-island cotton). RNAcentral's name for it is "long non-coding RNA (GBAR_LNC018209)". The record is from RNAcentral. Lineage: Eukaryota; Viridiplantae; Streptophyta; Magnoliopsida; Malvales; Malvaceae.
AAGUUAUAAAAACUCUAGCUUCUUUUCUUCAAAUAUUUGUCUUUGUUCUUCAAAUACUUUUUGGGUUUGAGAUAUAGAGAGAGAAGCGUAAGGCCUCUAUCUAGUAACCAUAACCAUGAGAGGGCACACCGGUGAAAUAGAAGGGGUAGGAUCUUGCGAGAUUGAGACUCUCAUUUCUAGACGGAGACUUGGAGAACUAAGUCAUAAACUUAUCAGGUAUAACUCUCUAUCCCUAUUCCCCCGACAGAACCAGUUGUCUUGAGGCACGAUUUACAAUGUGUAUGUUUUUUUUCUUGACGUAUAAAUCUGAUAUGAAAAAUAAAAAACAUUGUAAGCAACGACUAUUCUCUAAACCCCAUAUAUUUCUGUAUCAGAGCCUAUAGUUACUUCCUUGCAGGAAGUCAUCGGAAACUUUAAAUACUUAAGUUACACAUUCUUUUUAAAGAGUAAACACUUCCUAUGACGGUGUGUAAUCCUAAGUAAAGAUAAAACUUAUUUGUGGUUAUUGGUUUACCAACGUUGGGUUAAAACAUAACUAGCAACCAUAAGGGAGAUAAAUCCUAAUGAAGCCAAUAGGCGUCUCUAUUAUUUAGAUAUUGCUAUACCUAACGUUCAUAAUGACCUUACCUAUAAUAGUAAUAAUCAAAUAAAUUGUAAUUUUAGAUGAAAAGGUGAAAGACAUUAUACUCACAUUUGGCAUAACAUUAAUGAUACUCUAGAAAAUAAACAAUUAAACACCAUUGUAGACUUAAUAAUAAACUUUAUAAUAGUGACCAAAAAAUAAUUCAAGAUUUAAAGCACAUAAUAUGACAAAAAAAAAUCUAAUAAUUCAUUAGAAAUAAAUUUAUUAUUUCAAAAGAUAAUAAACAACCAAGGGUUUAUAAAGUCAGAAAUAGAAUAGUAAACGGAAAAAAAUGUUAACUAAAGCCGAUAAAUUCCUAUCUAAGAAAAGAAUACAAGAACUAGUUGAAGUUCGUAAAGUAGUAGAAAACAAACCAUAAAAUUAAUAACUAAUUUUCAAGAAGAAACACUUUAACCUGCAUGUUUGUUGGUCAUUAAAUGAUAAAAGACAGGUAGCUGAAAAGGGGCUUUCUAGUGUCCAAGCCAGUAAACCAUUUGCAAGAUUUCUCCUUAACUACCAACGCCCAAAUACAGACUCUAAAUAACAGUUUAGAGAAGGUCAAGAGAAAUAUUGACAGAGUCGGUCAAACUACAGGAUUGCCAACUCCUACGCCAGUAAUACCCGAUGUAGAAAACAUAAAAGAAAGAUUAAAUACUAUAUAUAGGGGCACUCGAGCUUUAGUAAUAUUGAGAGAACAGGAUAAUAAUAAAAAUAAGCAUUACAACAAAAUCUGCACACAUAAACAAAACAAUUUAACAAGAGGCUAUAGUUCAAAUAAUUGGCCACACGUCAAAGCAUUUGAAAUUGAUUAAGGAAUAAAAAGAAGUGAAAGAUUGGAUAGAGCCCUCUCAUGACAACAAAUCCAACCAGAAGUAUUUUAAGAAAAUAGAUUUAACAAAAACAGAAAUGCCAACAUUGCUACAAAGGUGAGGAUAUGCCAACAGAUAACAUUCACCUCUAGUCUAGUAUAGGAGAUUAUUAGAAAGCAACUACAUGUUCUGCUACUUUUCCUGUCCAUGCCCCAAAACAAACUCUUCAGCAAUGAAAAUCAAAACAUUUCCUUUCAUCUUCAGAUAUCAUAUAGUGACACAACCUGCAAUGCCCUAAGACGUCAGUUCUAAGAAAUUCAUCAAUGGUGAGACUAUUUGGUUUCAUUGAUAACCUUUCCACAUCCUCUACUGCCAUUGACAUCAAUAGUCAAAAGGACUAACAAAUCAUAAUAAAAAUAAUAGUAAUAAUAAUAACAACUGCGACAAAGAAGAGAGAAGAAGAAGCCAGAACUAGAGAUAACAAAUAGUAGAGAGGACAGAGGCCAAUAUGAAUGACGUCGGCAACUCUAAGCCUAUACAAGGAUUCAUCAUUGGGGAGGGCAGGUUGAUGAGCAAACUAACAUCCAAGAGUGUUUAGGGAAUGUGAUCUCGAGGCCAAAUAUGCCCAUAGAAGCAAAAAGGGGUGAUAAAUAUACACAUAUGUACUAUCAAAUAAAACCAUAGAAAACCCGCCUCACGACAGCAAAGAUUAAAUAUACAUAUAAAUACAGAUUUAAUCAACCAGAAAUACUGUCUGCAUUUCUUUGACGCAUUGGGCUUAAAUAGAUUCAUGAUAUAAAGUCUAAGGUAUCUCUAAGAUUGCUCACUAAAAAUACACUCGGAGAAGGAAAAGUGAAAAAUAUGCACAUAUAUAUUUAUAGUUCGGCACUGUAUAUGGCAUUUGUUAAUGCCAGAAGUCAAAAAAUACAAACUCCAUACACAGUUCUAUUCGAACUAAAUUAGCAUCUUUUGGCUGAACACGUCUGACUCACAAAUGCACUAGAAGUGCAAAUAAAAAGAGCCCUCAGACCUCAUGGCUAUGCAAACAUCAUGUACAGUUCCACUGUAAACACAUCCUUCAAUGGCUUUUCAUACACCGCCUGACCACCAAAGAAAUGUCUAUAUAGAUAUAGAUAGAUAUGUAUAGUGUGUGUAUGUGUGUGUUGGAAAAUCAUCCAAUACACAGCCAGUAUAAAGACCAUCCAAGAGAGAGAGAGAGUGAAAGGAGGUGGAGUGCAAAAGCCAGAGUCGAAUAUAAAACCAGAACCAUUCAAUCAAAAAAGAGUAUUCCAUCAUCGGGCUCUCAAUGAAACCCAAGGCACCGGUUUCUAAAACCCUACAUAACAUCAUUGAAAGAAGAAAUUAUGAUUUACUAAAAGAGUAUAUACUGAGAAAGCAAAAGGUACAGUGGUCACCAAGGCUCUAAUCAAGCUUCAGAUACCCUAGAAGUCCUAUAACAACAACAAAGGAAGAUAUAUUUCAAAGAAAGAAAUGUAAAUUUAGUAACAUAAUUCAACAAUAGUGAUGCUCAUGACUUUCAUUCCAGUCAAUAUCUUCAGAGCUUGGUGAAAAAGGUAAACAACAACAAGACUAAGUAGCAAAAGAACUAACCUACGUAUCAGCUUCUUCUCACCAUUGGGCACAUGCCAAAACCUUUGAAAUUCAUUAAGCAUAUGUUACACAGAUGGUAUCAAAAGCGGUGAAAUAUUGAGUAGAACCAUAGUGAAUCACUAGGAAGGUAACGUACUUUCAAAUACCAGUUGAUAUUAAACCAGAAAGGGGUUGGCAAUAUUUUCUCAGACAAUUAAAUGUUUAAUGGUUUGAAAUUAGCAACUAAAGAAGAAGCGGAUACAAUAAUUGAUGAAAUACACGCAAUAAAAUCUUCUGAAAAUAUUUAACAAAGAAAAAAAAAAGGGUUAUUGACUGUCACAACAUAUCUGUCAGUGUCACUACACAUUUACAAUGUAUUAAUGUGGAUGCCAAUUCAAACAUGCAGAUAUAAAUGUGAAUGUUCGGAUUACAUUUGAAAAAAAGCUUGAACUUAACUUGAUGAUUGUUAUCGAGUUCUAGCAGUCGAAUUCAAGUAAUCAAAUGCUUGAUUUCAAUAACUUUGAAUUUAAUUGAGAUUUUAAAAUUAAAAUUGAAAAUUAAUUCAAACUCAAGCUUAAAAAUAAAUAAUCAAAUAUGAAAUUUAACUUAUUUUGUACUAGAUAAACAAGGCAACCUUCUCGUCUGAGCGUGUGUAAGUUUCCCUUCCUUCAUAGUGAAGUAAGGAAACAGUGGAAGAAUUGUGUACUUGAAAAAACAAAGGAACUCUUCUGCCCAACUGGAUCAUCUAGCGAUACAAGGAAUCCUUCACUUCAAAAGUUGGCACUAUUCUUACAAGUGAUGUUAGGUGAAGCUAGCAUGGCCAAUGUGGGACUCGUCGAGACAAAAGUUAAAAGAAAGGAAAAUGAAAAUAUUUAUCAAUGCACUAUGGGGGCACUGACACAAGCUCGCAAACUUUAUGCGAACUUAGCUAAAGAGAAUAAGAAAUUGUUGGAGCAAAACAAGAGGUUACAAAAGCAUCUUACUCUUACUGAAAAAGAUGUUGAAAAGCUGCAUGGGGUGAUCGCAGACAAACAAGCUGAUAAAAAUGUCUUGGAGGUUACUUUAAAAAUCAUGGAUGAACAACACAAAGCUGCCAUGGCUAACUUAGCCAAGAGCCAUGAGGAAGCUUUGGAGAAGUAUAAAAGAGAAACUAUGCAAAGUCUCCAAGAGUACUUACCUGAUUUAAAGGCUAACUUCCUAUUACAUGCUUAAGUGGCUGGUGGUCCUUUUGACGUGCGGAGAGUAAAUUUUGAUGCUUUUAAUGAGUUUACUGGUGCUCCGAUGGACUUCAACGUCUAUUUCCCUUUUGAAGCAGCUUGGGAAGAGUUUGCGGAGAAAUGAAAAAACUGUUUUUACCUCGCUGAAUAUCCUGCUAAGACCAGUGUUGCUCCUGUAGGUGAAUGUGAAGGCAAUGAGUGUGAAGGAGAAGAUGGAGAAGAAAAUGAAUCGCUUGCUGACCCUCUAGACACGAGUGCUAACUCGUGAUUUUCUUAUCUUAAUUGUACUUGUAGUCUCUGAAUUUGAAAUGAAAAUCUGAGUUUGCUUCUCA